RNAcentral lists this ribosomal RNA (494 nucleotides) under uncultured bacterium. RNAcentral's name for it is "partial 16S ribosomal RNA". It matches the Rfam family "Bacterial small subunit ribosomal RNA", at positions 28 to 507 of the family's 1533-position model. The record is from RNAcentral.
GACGAACGCUGGCGGCGCGCUUAACACAUGCAAGUCGAACGGAAAGGCCUGCUUUCCCUCGUGGAUUGCGGGUACUCGAGUGGCGAACGGGUGAGUAACACGUGAGUGAUCUGCCCCCAACUUGGGUAUAAGCCUGGGAAACGGGUUCAAAUUCCGAUAGGGCCGGCGGGGUGUGCCCGGGGUGGGAAAAGAUUUUUCUGGGGGUGGGGGUUGGGCUCGCGGCCUAUCAGCUUGUUGGUGGGGUAAUGGCCUACCAAGGCGGCGACGGGUAGCCGGCCUGAGAGGGUGGACGGCCACAUUGGGACUGAGAUACGGCCCAGACUCCUACGGGAGGCAGCAGUGGGGAAUAUUGCACAAUGGGCGGAAGCCUGAUGCAGCGACGCCGCGUGGGGGAUGACGGCCUUCGGGUUGUAAACUCCUUUCGACCGCGAGGAAGCCACCUGGUUGGAAGGGUGGUGACGGUAGUGGUAGAAGAAGCACCGGCUAACUACGUG